RNAcentral lists this small nuclear RNA (141 nucleotides) under Theropithecus gelada (gelada). RNAcentral's name for it is "U4 spliceosomal RNA (ENSTGEG00000010092.1)". It matches the Rfam family "U4 spliceosomal RNA". Rfam says of the family: U4 small nuclear RNA (U4 snRNA) is a component of the major U2-dependent spliceosome. The record is from RNAcentral. Lineage: Eukaryota; Metazoa; Chordata; Mammalia; Primates; Cercopithecidae.
AGCUUUGCACAGCAGCAGUGUUGCAGCCAAUGAGAUUUAUCCGAGGUGUGAUUAUCGCUAAUUGAAAACUUUUCCCAAUACCCUGCCAUGAUGACUUGCAAUAUAGUCGGCAUUGGCAAUGUUUGACAGUCUCUGUACAGA